Molecule: long non-coding RNA, 3105 nt
Organism: Myiozetetes cayanensis
Lineage: Eukaryota; Metazoa; Chordata; Aves; Passeriformes; Tyrannidae
Exons: 4
Source: RefSeq, a predicted model, not a curated record
GUCGCCGCCGGCGGAAAGCAACACGUUUGGCUCUGAACUUUGCAGCUCCAGUCACAAACAAACAAAUACAGCCCAGGAAGGACCUCUCCCAUCAGAUCCCAGACUGCUCGGCAGCCGCUGCCUCUCUUAUUGAAAUCACAGACAAAUACAAUGAGUAGGGACAUCAAGUGGCUAUUCAGUCGAGUCUUCUUUCAUUCUUCACCAAAUCAAGGCGUAAUUUACCAACUAGACUGAACAAAUGAAGGCAAUGUCCUGAAUAACAUCAUUCUCACAGUAAAACAUCAGUAUCAAAGCAGGGCAUUUGAACACGUAAAAGGAAAAGUGGUGUGAUUGGCACUCCUGAAGGACAGGAUGUCAUCUGGAGGGAGCUGGACAAACUUGAGAAGUAAGUCCAUGGGAACCUCAUGAGGUGUAACAAGACCAAGUGAAAGGUGCUGCAUUGGGGUUGUGACAACCUCGGUAUCAACACAGGCUGGGGGAUGAACAUAUCAAGAGCAGUCCUGCUGAGAAGGACUUGAGGGUGCUGGUGGUUGAGAAGCUGUACAUGAGCCAUCAAUUUGUGCUUGCAGCCCAGAAGGCCAAUUGUAUCCUGGGCUACAUCAAAAACUGUGUGUCCAGCAGGUCGAGGGAGGUGAUUCUGCCCCUCUACUCUACUGUGGUGAUACCCCACCUGGAGCGCUGCAUCCACCUUUGGGAUCCCCACCAUAAGAAGGACAUUGACCUCUGGGACUGAAUCCAGGGGAGAACCACCAGGAUGAUUAAAGGGAUGGAGCACCUCGCCUAUGAGGAAAGGCUGGGUUUGUUCAACCUGGAGAAGAAAAGGCUUUGGGGUGACUUAAUUGUGACCUUCCAGUACCAGAAGGGAGCCUACAAAAAAAGUGGAGAGGGACUUUUUACAAGAACAUAUAGUGACAGGACAAGGGGGAAUGGACUCAGACUGAAAGACAGUAGGUUUAGAUUAGAUAUUAGGAAGAAAUUCUUCACUGUGAUGGUGGUGAGUCAUUGGAACAGGUUGCCAAUAGAAUUUGUGGAGCAUUGGAUUGGAUGGUUGGAUGGAGCUGUGGUUGACCUGGUUUGGUGGAAGGUGUCCCUGACCAUGGCAGUGGCAUUUGGAACUAGAUGAUCUUUAAGAUCCCUUCCUAUCCAGACCUUUUUCAUGAUUCUGUGAUGAUUCUAUGAAUCAGUGAAGCAAGUUCUAAGUUCCCCUGAUUAUCUUGAAAUAUGUUUGAGGUGAAUAUCACAUGUCUCUUGUAGCAAUUAAGACAAGUCGAUUUGGUUCCUGAGGCAGAAAGUUUUGUGUAAAAUUAUAUUUAUAUCGGAUGCGCUCAGAUGAAAUAUUUUGUUUUGCAGAGAGGAAAAAAUAUGAAAGAAAGUCACUUUCUACAUGAUGCUCUUUCUACUGAAUCUUACCUUCCUGAGUAACAUUUGACUUCCUAGGCAUUUCACAUUUUUUUAAACAAUUACAUUAAUAGACACUAAAACCCAGUGCAACUACAACUAGGUCUUUUUGGCAAGCUGUUUACUUCACCUUUCUUUUAUAGAUCUAGUCUAUAAGAUAAUUUUUGAUUCAUCCAUUGUUUAUAUGAAACUUUCAUUUACAUAUUAAUAUUACAUAUUACAUAUUAAAAAUAUGGAUUAUAUACUGAACUAUAAAAAUUAAAACUAUAAAAUAUCCCAAUAUGUUGUUUUCACAGCUACCUGUGUGCGUCGAUAAUACAGUUUAAUUACUUGUGAUCUGGCUUAUUAUUGUUUGCUUACUCAUAGAUUUACUUUACUUCUUUUUCAGUAAUAUCAAAAAAGGAUUUUGCUGUCUAGUAGAAUCAAAGCCAACCUUCCUACUGCUAUUUUGAAAGCUAUUAAUAUUUCUGACUACAUCAAUAUAUCUUGUUAUUACUAUUUGUAUACAGAAAUGAAAGCAUAUAUAACCCACAGAUUAAGAAUUAUUCUGGUGUUCUACUUUAAGCCCAGCCAGCAAAUAAGCACCACCAUCCACUCACGCAUUCCCUGCCAGUGGGAUGGGGGAGAGAACUGAAAGGAUAGAAGUGAAAAAACAGUUUAACAGGUAAAAGAAAACCACAUAUGCCUUUGCCAUGUCAUGUCAUACUUUUGUUAUAGCUACGUCUUGGUAGACUAAGUGCACCUUCCAGUACACUUACCUUGUUAUGACUUGCCUUGUCUUUAGCUUAGUGGUGAAUUAUGUAUAAUAGGUGGUAGUAGCUUGUGAGUAGGGUGACGGACGAUAUGUGCAUGCUCCAGGGCCAACUUAAAGGAGGCAUGAUUGUCCUACUUUACUGCUAAAUCCGCCUUUUAGGAAUGGUUUCAUAUUCCUUGUCGUGUGAUUUUCUAUGUUAGAAAAUGUAGCCCAUUUCUUCCACUUCAUGAGCUAUACCUUGACCUGUCUUGCUAGCGGAGAGGGACUAUUAUGCUCACUGUUGGGCCCUCAGGUUAGGGGUGAGCUGGGGACGGCGGUAUAUAGGCUGAUUUGGCAAGAGGUUGUUGGGUGUAUUGUGGGUUAUCGAUUAUAGAACAGGCUCCUCUAGGUGGGUUUGGAGCACCGCCAAGUCCUUAGAGUUUUAAGCAUUUGUGCUCGUAGUUCCCGGGUGGAUGUUUGGGUAGAAGAAACAUCAGGAUUUAGGGCGAGGCAUAGUGGGGUAUCUAAUCCCAGUUUGUGCCCUGGCUUUUGUGGAGUUUUAUUAAUCGUGUGGCUAAGAUCAUUUUGAUAAAAAGUGUUAGGUGCAUCUUGUGCUUAUAACAGCUUAGCUGCAUUUCAAUCUUAGUUGAAUUGAUAAUGAAGAACCACUCUUUAUGCCGCGUAAGGUUAAUUUGGGUUUCUUGUAUGACUGCGGUGGCUGGCACAAGAUUUACCAACCCUAGUGAGUUGCUUUAACUAAGUCAAGUUUACACUUAUUGCUUAAUGUCAAGUUGGUGAGAUUGGUGGAUAGGUUUAGUUAUAUUGGGUUGGGAGUUUGUUUAAAGAUGGGUUCUUAUAGUUGAAUUUAAAACAGUGGUUUUUCAAACCAUAGGUCUUGGAGAGAGGCCAAGUAAGAAUUUUAUGACAUAUUUUAUGGUUUUUUUAAGUAUCUGUUUUAUUUUAGGUGGAUUGGC